Gymnodraco acuticeps is the source of this 2131-nucleotide RNA transcript. It is a transcript of the gene named growth factor receptor-bound protein 14, with no coding region annotated. The record is from RefSeq and is a predicted model, not a curated record. Lineage: Eukaryota; Metazoa; Chordata; Actinopteri; Perciformes; Bathydraconidae.
AGAGAACCAUUGAAGACCAUGAGUCUGUUAUGGAGGUGCUAUCCGGCUGGGGAAUGGACACAGACUGCCGGCUGUAUUUUAGGAAGAAUUAUGCUAAAUACGAGUUCUUCAGGAAACCCCUGGACUUUUUCCCGGAUCACAUGGUCUCCAUAUCCAGUGAAACCAAUGGCAUGGUGGAUCACUCUCAGCUUAUACAGACCUUUCUCAACUCCAGCACAUGUCCAGAGAUACAUGGACACCUCCAUGCCAAAGAGCAAAGCAGGAAAUCUUGGAAGAAGUUCUAUUUUGUCCUGCGUAGGUCGGGCCUUUAUUUCUCCAAUAAGGGAACUUCCAAGGAACCGAGGCAUCUCCAGUUCAUUGCCGACUUCAGUGACAGUGAUGUCUACACAGUGUUGUCAGCCAAAAAACGACAUGGAGCACCUACAGAUUACGCCUUCUGUGUCAAGUCUACAAAGGGUAGUUCGGGCCGGGACUUGAAGCUGCUCUGUGCGGAUGAUGAGCAGACCAGGACCUGCUGGAUCACAGCCAUGCGCUUGUUAAAGUAUGGGAUGGAGCUGUACCAGAACUUUAUCCAGCCACACCAGAAACAAAAAGCUUCACCAAUGAGGAGCAUCUCAGAGAAUUCUCUGGUGGCCAUGGACUUUUCUGGCCAAAAGAGCCGUGUGAUCGAGAACCCGUCCGAGGCGAUGUCUGUGGCGGUGGAGGAAGGCCUGUCAUGGAGGAGGAAGAGCUGCCACCGUCUGAGCGGCCAUGGGAGCCCCUCCACAUCACACAGCUCUUUGUUAAACAUGGGUCUCUCUCCACUUGGGUCAGCCCUGGUUCCACGGCAAACUGUCGAGGGAGGAGGCUCAGCGUAUAAUCACUCAGCAGGGUCUCAUCGAUGGAAUGUUUAUUCUGAGGGACAGCCAAAGCAACCCUAAGACUUUUGUACUGUCGCUGUGCCACAUGCAGAAAAUUAAACACUUUCAGAUCAUACCCGUGGACGAUGAUGGGGAGUUAUUCUACAGUCUGGAUGACGAUCAAACACGCUUCACCGACUUGAUCCAGUUGGUGGAAUUUUACCAGCUAAACAGAGGGGUGUUGCCCUGCAAGCUCAAACACCACUGUGCCCGUAUCGCCCUGUGAACAAGGGACCCACGAGACCCCCGAGGGCUCAGAUGCACCUUAACUCCAGGGCCUUUCCAGACAAACACUCCCAGUGUUCUUGUGCCUUGAAGAAGAAAGACAUACAGCCAUACUAACUGAAACCACUGUUAUAAUCCACUAUCAUUGACAUCCAUAGUCUGCUACAUGGGCCCUCCUUCUUUGCUUUGAAAGCUGCAUUUAAGAACAGACCAUAAUAACUGACCACAUGUGCUGGUGAUUUGCAUAUUCUACCCUGAAGUCUUUGCCCCAUAAUGUGCUAAUGGAUGGUGGUAAAUCCAUGGUCCAAACAUGACUUCCUGUACUCUGCAUUGUAGGGCAUGUGAUACAUUUUUAUUUGAAAUUAUAUCAUGCAAGAAAUUGUCAUACACAACACCUCUGUCCUCUUAAAUUUGAGCAAAACAAGCUAUCUUUAUUUUCUUUGUCAUUGUAUUUUUAAGUAUUCAGGUAUUUGUUUUGUAAAAUAAAUUGCUGUUGUUUUCUAUAUGAGGGCUAAAAUGACCUCUCAGGAAGUGCCCCUGUGCAUGCCCAGUGAGUGGGAUCGAUACUGCUGUAGAGGGGAGAGGAGACGUGAUGUACAGGUGGAGAGACAUAGCACACAACCUCACUGCACUGUACAUUCAUUUGAAAUGUUUGUGAUUAAAUGAAAUGUUUGUUUUACAUGACUUUAAUUGCGAGCUUGUUCUAGAGUGAGAGGAGUGACAUUUAUUUCACCAGUUUUAGAUAAAGCCGUUAAGAAGACUGAUUUUGAAUUCAGGUAUGCAUUUUGAAAUACUUGGCUUGGUUGUUGGUGUUAUUCCCACUGCUGUGGACACUGCCAUUAACGCAUCAGCUUUUAAUAACAAGGUAUUUUAAAUCAGUGACAUGGUUGAAACACCAUCUAAUGUUAGUUUAAUUAUUUUAUAGCUGUACAACAUUGCAUUGAACAAUAAAUACUAUGGACUGCAUAUUUUUAUAUAUAUAAACAAAGUCUGUUUGUAAGAUGUUA